UAGCAGAAAUUAUCAGCCUCUCCAAUUCUGUCAGUUUUGGAAUGGAAAGGUGAUUCUGAUCUUAUUUAUGUGAAUCUUGAAGCAUCAAAAUAAUUCAUAUUCCUUUUUUUAGUUAGUUACUCCCAAUUUGAUAAAAUGAGUUCAUACCAUUUUGGGGAAUGAACUUACAGUCUUGCCAAUAGAGUGUCCAAGAAGAAUCGCCCCCUAGCGGACAUUUUAUACCCACUCGGAGGAUACUUGUGAGAUCUUGUCUGUCUCUCAUUUUUUUCUCUGACACACCUUACAAGUUAAAAAAAAUAAAAAGUAUUUUCAGAGCAGUCACUAAUACAUUGAUUUAAUUCUUGAAAUUUAAUUCUUGAAAUUUACUAUCUUCGGAUAGAUCAGAUAGUGUUUUGAUGAAGUUAUCUAAAACAAAUACUGGUGAAAUACAGACUAGACACCACAUACAUCUGGAUUUUACUCUGAUUUCUUUUUUUUUUUUCAGGGACAAGGGCCUGCUAUGUAUCUAUUUCCAUGUCAAGAAAGCCAUGACAGCUUUGGUGACCAAGAAUGUGGGAUCUUUUGAGGAACCUUAAUUUCAGCAGAGGGCUGGAAACAGGUUUAAAGAUGUUCAAUGACCAUAGGAAGAAGAUAGUGGAUUUUCAAAAUAACAUUUGGCAAAAGAGGUCGGCCUGCAGUGAUGUGCACAAGUUUGGGAGGCUCAAGACCUGGUGUCACAUCCUGACUCCAAUCUGUGUAAGCUGCAUUGCUCUGCGCAAGAGAUUCAAACACUAAGAACUGCAGUUGCACAUUUGUAAUACCUACUUCAUUGUCAUAGGAGGAGACAAGGAGGAGAUGGCCAUCUAGAAACCAGGAAGUGGAUCUUCACCAGACACUAGAUCUACUGGCACUUUGCUCUGCACUUCCCAGUCUGUUUCCUAAGCCACUCAAUUAGUGGCAUUUUGUCAUAGAUUCCUAAACUGUCUAAGGCAAUUCGUGUGGUUUCAACACAAAUCCCUGAAUUAUGUGAAUAGUUAACCAUUUGUAAACCACUAGAGGUGAUAAUGCACAUUAGCUUGUACAUGGUGGACAACUCAUACAAAAGGUUAGUAAAUUUUUCCACAGUUAAACCUUCUAACCACGCAGUAAACACUGGCUCUGCAUUAGUAAGUACUCUUCUUGGUGCUGGAAUGCAAAAUGACACAUAACCAAGUCUUUCCUAGGAGCUCAUCAUCUCCUAAAAACAACAACAACAACAACAACAAAACCAAACUAUACAUUUGUGUGUUAGUACUAAAACAGAGGCAUGUUCCAGGGUUUAUAUAAAAUGAGGAUCUUUGUUCUUUGUUGGUUAUACACACUGAAAAAAUCUUCUUAUGGUUUAUGAUCUUUUGUUUCACUUUUUAUGGUGUCUUUGAUGUAGAGUUCAUUGUGUUGUAAUUUGUAGUUCUGUGUCAUGUUUAGAAUCUUCUAC
This 1453-nucleotide long non-coding RNA is filed under the name Callithrix jacchus (white-tufted-ear marmoset). Its description in RNAcentral is "lncRNA (ENSCJAG00000084569.1)". Lineage: Eukaryota; Metazoa; Chordata; Mammalia; Primates; Cebidae. The record is from RNAcentral.